This 433-nucleotide ribosomal RNA is filed under the name uncultured bacterium. RNAcentral's name for it is "partial 16S ribosomal RNA". It matches the Rfam family "Bacterial small subunit ribosomal RNA", at positions 29 to 507 of the family's 1533-position model. The record is from RNAcentral.
AACGAACGCUGGCGGCAUGCCUAACACAUGCAAGUCGAACGAGACCUUCGGGUCUAGUUGCGCUUGGGUGCGUAACGCGUGGGAACCUGCCGUUAGACUCGGAAUAACUCCCCGCAAGGGGUGCUAAUACCGGAUAAUGUAUUCGAACAAAAGAUUCAUCGCCUUUGGGUGGGCAUGCGUUGGAUUAGCUAGUUGGUAGGGUAAAAGCCGACGAAGGCGACGAUCCGUAGCUGGUCUGAGAGACUGAUCAGCCACACUGGGACUGAGACACGGCCCAGACUCCUACGGGAGGCAGCAGUGGGGAAUAUUGGACAACCGGGUAAAGCAUGAUCCAGCAAUGCCGCGUGAGUGAUGAAGGUCUUAGGGUUGUAAAGCUCUUUUACCCGGGGUGAUAAUGACAGUACCGGAAGAAUAAGCUCCGGCUAACUCCGUG